RNAcentral lists this transfer RNA (75 nucleotides) under Myotis lucifugus (little brown bat). It matches the Rfam family "tRNA". Rfam says of the family: Transfer RNA (tRNA) molecules are approximately 80 nucleotides in length. Their secondary structure includes four short double-helical elements and three loops (D, anti-codon, and T loops). Further hydrogen bonds mediate the characteristic L-shaped molecular structure. tRNAs have two regions of fundamental functional importance: the anti-codon, which is responsible for specific mRNA codon recognition, and the 3' end, to which the tRNAs corresponding amino acid is attached (by aminoacyl-tRNA synthetases). tRNAs cope with the degeneracy of the genetic code in two manners: having more than one tRNA (with a specific anti-codon) for a particular amino acid; and 'wobble' base-pairing, i.e. permitting non-standard base-pairing at the 3rd anti-codon position. Lineage: Eukaryota; Metazoa; Chordata; Mammalia; Chiroptera; Vespertilionidae. The record is from Rfam by way of RNAcentral.
ACUGGUUUGGCUCAGUGGAUAGAGCAUCGGCCUGCGGACUGAAAGGUCCCAGGUUCGAUUAUCCUGGAAAAAGUC